GCCUGGGUGGUGCAAAUGGUUAAGCGUUCAGCUAUUAACAGAAAGGUUGGUGGUUUGAAUCCACCCAGAGGUA
RNAcentral lists this transfer RNA (73 nucleotides) under Loxodonta africana (African savanna elephant). It matches the Rfam family "tRNA". Rfam says of the family: Transfer RNA (tRNA) molecules are approximately 80 nucleotides in length. Their secondary structure includes four short double-helical elements and three loops (D, anti-codon, and T loops). Further hydrogen bonds mediate the characteristic L-shaped molecular structure. tRNAs have two regions of fundamental functional importance: the anti-codon, which is responsible for specific mRNA codon recognition, and the 3' end, to which the tRNAs corresponding amino acid is attached (by aminoacyl-tRNA synthetases). tRNAs cope with the degeneracy of the genetic code in two manners: having more than one tRNA (with a specific anti-codon) for a particular amino acid; and 'wobble' base-pairing, i.e. permitting non-standard base-pairing at the 3rd anti-codon position. The record is from Rfam by way of RNAcentral. Lineage: Eukaryota; Metazoa; Chordata; Mammalia; Proboscidea; Elephantidae.